UCCAUCUGUCCAUUUAUUCAUCUAUUUUUCUGUGCACCUGUGUUGUAUACAUUUUUGCGUUUGCAUGACUGCACACGUACGUAUCGAGGCUUGACAUAGAUAAUGUGAGCCUUCCUCAAUCACUGCUGAAUUCAUGAAUUCACACACAAAUCAAGCUGGCAAUCUUGCUCUAGGGAUCCCCUGUGUGUCCUUCAAGCUUUGGAAUUACAGUGUGGCUGCCACGUCCGUUUAGCAUUUACCCGGGUGCUGGGAUUCGAACUCAUGUAUUCAAAGCAGUCACUCUGUCUACUAAGACAUUUUCCCAGCCUCCUUAUUUCCAACCACAAUUUCUUAGCAGUGGCUUUUGUGAUCCCAAAGUGCCCUUGGCAACCAGCUUUUGAAAACUGCAUUUUAGAAGGCAGGAUGCCUCCCCGAGGGCAAACAUUCCUGAUGUCGAAAGAUUAAAGUUUGAAGAAUUAUGGGUGAGAUGGAGAAAUUAAAAAUGCAUAGCUCAGCUCACAGAGAAUCACAAGGGUCUCUGAUUUAUCAAAUUAAAAGACACAUUUUUUUGUUUUAAAUUGCAAUCAGCGGGCUUUUGGUUGACUUCCAGGCAUUACUUGAUUUGAACAGACUUGCUUUCAUGGUGAAGAGCAAGCCUUUCUUUCUCAUUCUAGAAGGGAAUCCAUCCCAUGAAUGUUGUUCAAGUAGGGAAAACCAAGUGCAGCUGCUUUCCCUGUGUGGAGUGUUAGGUUACUGGUGUUGGGCUUCAGUUUUCUGUUCCUUCCGUCACCCGGACAAGCUCUCCCGCCACACACAGGUCACGUGGAACAGUGGCAUAGGGGGAGGCCACGCUGACUUUGUUUUUCCGUGGUUUCUGUUCACUCUUUCAUGACUUCAUUGCAAGACAGUGUUUUUUUUUUUUUUAAAAGACCUCGUGCUGGCAAACAGGAGUUGACUUACCAGACCAUAACAACUUUUUGGAGUCUCAGGGUCUGUGAUGUAAAUUCUAGUUUGUUUUUUAGAGGCUUUCGUAAUCCACUAUGUAAAAAUAUGCAUUUGCAUAAUUUCCAAAACACUUUUCUUUGAAGCCACUGUCCUUCCAGCCUUCCUGUUGGUCAUGCGGACACCAAGGACCUGCAAGUUUGAGUUCCGGCAUUGCCACUUUGUCAUCUUCAAACUGAGGGAGAGCUGGAACAAGCUGCUUUGGAGGGAGGCAAGUCGUCAGUCCUCAUGCACUUGACCUUUGUUGAAUUAAACUACAAGGGACCCAGGAUCCCAACCUUCUGAGGACCGCCCCCUCCGCCCCUAUUCUAGCACCCAUCACAAGGCUGUUGUGAGAUGGUCAGGGAACCGGACUUCAGCUCUGACAGCAGCGCUUGAAGAAACAUCAUUGUGCUUUCUGUCUCCAGCUCUGUUGAGUAUGUAUGUAAUUGGUGAGAAUGGACAGACACAAGGACUACUGUUACUUCUCGAGGCUCCAAUUCCCAAGAAGACAUGGUGUUCAGCUGUAUCUUCGAAGAUGUACCCGUCCAAAGGGAGCUUGGUCUCCACGGGUUAGGCAUGCAGAGAGACACAGAUGUUCACGGACCCCCAACCCACCCGCAAGGCACACUGUCGUAAGUUCUCCGUCCUACCUAUAGAGCGACGGCUUGCCUUUAUUUAUUGCACUUGGAACCCUCCAAGGUUUCUUUUCUGACUUGAUCUCAUUUGCAUCUCAAAAAGAGAGAGAGAACAAGUUUGACUCCAAUUUUACCAGAGAGGAAACUGAAUCAUGUCCUUCCCAAACCCCCAGGAUACGAACCUUAGACUGGGGGCAGUGUUAGAGAAGGUGCCUUAAAAGAAGUAAUUACAUGAAAAUGGGGUCACUGGGGUGAGCUCUAAUCCAAUCUGACUGGUGUCUUUAUACAGAGAGAUUAGAGCACAAAUACAAACACCCAGGCAAGAUCACAUGAUCACACAGCGAGAGAUUCCUGCAAAGACAAGAGGGAGGCAGGCCCAGAAGAAGCCAACCUCUCCCCACCCUUUUGUCCACAAGUCUUGGUUUUCAGUACGGGAAGAAAACUCUAUUUUAAGCCACCUGAUCCUCGGUAUUUUAUCAUGGCUGCCAUGCGGACUACUACGGAUUCCCAGGUUCUGAAACUUCCCCAAGGUCUCACGCUUAGCGAGAGCCAGAGUGAACAUCAGUUCUCAAGUCUUACACCUUGUAAAUCCCUUAUGGAAUAAAAUAUUUUACAUAUGGAAACCAGUUCUGCCGCGUAGCUGGCGAUGUGCAGUGGCUCUCACUGACUGCCACGCUGUUUGAAUCGUAUUUAUAGCAAAAUGUCUCUACGCACGGGGGAAGGCGGUCCAGGGCUGCUGCCCUGUUCCGCGUAGUCCAUCCAUGGGAACGCUAAGGAAAGCUGUUUAUCUGUCCUGGUUUGUCCAGUGUCCAGUGUCUCAGCACCGGAAGGAGAAUGACAAGGUAAUAAACAAACAACCUGCUAUAUUCUGACAGAGCCAAGGCCAGUGAGAACAGCCUUCUGGCCAGCACACUUACACCCCCAGCACCCUCCCUACCCUGGGAGCCAGGCUCUGAUGUUGCUCUGUCCACUGCCUCUUGGUGACUCCAGUCUGUGGUCUUUUGCUUUGCAUUGGGACACGGAACUGAAACUCGGAUGUGAGCAGAGUUUUACAUGAGGAACCCAUUUCUCUCUUUCCUCCUUGCCUUGGGUUGGAGGCUCCAAACUGGGCUUAACCCCGGGAGGAAUGUUCUCAAACCACAAGGAACAAGACUUCCUCUGGCACAGAGUGGCCCCAGAAUGGGUGGCUGAGGAUCCCCUGUAUAUGGGCCCCAUCGUCCCCUCUCUGCCUACAGGGCUGUAGCUACAUUUGUCCUUCCUGGGAGUGAGGUAGGGGCAGGGAGUGAAGGCUGACUUUCCCAGCAGGCGGACAUCUAGCUAUCUGGCUAAGAUAGUAACUGUUGAAAGUGACAGUGACAUAGUCCAUACUCACAGACUCAACAGCAUGCUCCCUUUCGGGUUCUGGAGCCGGGCUCUGUCCUGCUUAAGGUCUACCAGACAUAAUGACAUUGCAUCCUGCCUGUCCCUAGGUCCAAAAGCUAAGGGUUCUGAGGACUCACGUUCUUGCUCAUUCAUUUAGAAAACGGGUUGGAUUCAUGAGAAGUCUGGGUGGCAUCUUCUUAUUGACAUCUUUGUAGCCUUCAGGAAGAUCAUUGGAUCCAUAUCAACAAACGCAUACACUUGGCAAUCGUCCCAAUAUACCAAUAAAAGCCAAUUUCCAAUCUGUGAUCUCCAUGCCAAGCGGUAGAGUUGGACCCUUGCCAGGACUAUGGCACGGUGACCCUGGAGUUGUGGGAAUCUUUUUUUUUUUUUUUUUGGUUCUUUUUUUUCCGGAGCUGGGGACCGAACCCAGGGCCUUGCGCUUCCUAGGUAAGCACUCUACCACUGAGCUAAAUCCCAUUUUCAUGAUUUCCACAGGAGAACUGCUCCGGCUCCCGGCGUCCCACAGCAGAGUACUUGUGUUUUCCAUUUGCUCCAAGUCUCUAGCUGUGUCUUAGGGAGGUGAUGGUGGCGUUGGCAAUGGAAUCAAGGGCCUUGACAAGUAAGUGUGCUCAGAAAGCACGCUACCAUCAAGUGAACUGCCUUUUGAACCCCACCCCACUAGACUUAUCAUCAAAGCUCCAGCAACGUUUCCAGCCAUACACGCAUGGGGACAGCUUCCUGAGGAAGAGUCCCCCAGAUUCAGGCCAGCAACGCAUCUGGAAGAAAGGGAGCAAACCAGGGCUGCUUUCUUCUGACUCAGCCCACCUGAGGGGGGUCGCAGAAGGGAGGCACCUGGAAGCCAGCAGUCGCCCAGGAAGAGGUCUGCUCCUGGAAAGUCUUCAAAGCCAGGUGAAGUGUAGCAUCCUGAAGGAAAAAGGAGGGCCGGGCAGUGGGCCACUCCGCAGGAAUCAAAGCCAGGGGCAGGGGAGAGGGUGUGGUGGGCUGCUGACAGAAAGAAGUGGCUGGCUGCUCGCUCCAAAGGGGACCUGUUCCCAGCUUGCCACUUGGAUGGCACCUUUCAAAGCCCUUCAGAGACACCAGGACAAAGGGAUGAGAGGCUCCGCAGUGAGGGUGCGGCACCUCCCCGUCUUUGAGCUCAGUGCAGCUACAGAGCCGCCCUUGGCCACUCUGUGCUCCCUCGCUGGUGUCCUUUGAUCCGCCGACUGCUCCAGCAGCCCUUUCGAGGAAGCCAGAGAAGGGGCGCCCAGCUCCCACCGGAGAGGAGGUAGGGUUUCUUUGAAAUGGAAUGACAAUCUUGUUGGCUUAACAGGAAGCUAUCCACCCCAAAGUUGGGUUUGUUUCUCACCUUCCCCCACCAAACCAAGAAGUAGGUCAAGCAGGUCAUUUGCAAGAAAGCGCCCUUCGUUCAAGCGACUCUCAUUCACAGAGAGGCUGGGUGGAUGGGCAUUGGUUGUUAUGUUAGAGGGUGAGAACGUAGUGCAUGCCCAUAGUGCAUGCCCAGACAGAAUGGUUCCUUAGGCAUAGCGUGAGAAGCCAAUGCCUGCCGCCUGCCUUGAAGUGUUCCUUCACAUUGUCUUAACGUUUAUGAGUCCUUUGCGGACCAGACCACACCUUUCUCUCCUGGCUGGUUCUGCUGGUUGUAACAGGUCAUUAAAACAGCUGUUUACAGACUGCUUGACCAUUCCCAUCUUGAACUCUUCCUGGACAGGAGACAGCUGCUCCUGAGUUUACAUGUUAAAUAAUAAAAUAAUAAUAAAUAAUAAUAAUAAUACCACCUUUUCCAGCUAGGCUCAUCUUCCAGAAAACAAAAGGUAGAGCCCUUUAAUAACAUCAUCCAGAUUCAAUUCAAACUAUCGUCUCAAAUUUUGGAGCACCAGCAACUCUGUUUAAUAUUCCAAAAGAAUGAUUUCUGAGACUAAGAGAUUACAGAUUGAGAGAGAAGUACAGUUGCUUGCUGGUCUUGGAGUCGGGAGGUUGAGAUGUGGGUCUGGCCAGUGUGGCAGGAAGAUGACAUCACGGUGGUUCAGGCAAAGUGCCCACAACAUGUCCUUUCUUCCAAAUGUCUCUCCUCAAGAGUAGGAAAUCAACUUCUCAAAAGUCGGGAAGCUCUCAGUGUUUUCUCGGUUAGAGUUGUCAAUAUGAAGCCACACUCACAAUGUGCUGUUUUGGGUUGGUGGCCUGCAGCUAGGACUGACCGCUCUAAAGGCUGUCUGUCGGUCACCUGACUCUGGAAGGCAAGGAGCACAGCUCACAUUUCAGAUACCUGAGGAUCCUGAAGACAGCCAGGUUGAUAAGCCUGAAGAGAGAUACUCCCAGGGUUGACUGGUGACAUGGGGCUGGUGGAUAACAUUCCUCUGCCAUCUAGUGGCGCUGGCCUAUACUUCCCUCUCAGAGAAACUUCUAGGGGCUCCCACACCCCGGCAGAGUGCCUAGAGUUUUAUUUCUUUCAUUCAGGUUGAGUUUUUUAAAUCAGCCAUCCUAAGAGUCAGUGAGACUGUUCAGGAAGUGAGGGCACUUCUUACGGAGCCUGGAUGCCUGAGUUUGAGCCCUGGAGCCACAUGAUCGAAGGAGCACACCUGUCUACUCCACAUGGUAGAGGGAGAGCGCCUGUCUACUCCACAUGGUAGAGGGAGCGCACCUGUCUAGUCCACAUGGUAGACGGAGAGCGCUUGUCUACUCCACAUGGUAGAGGGAGAGCGCCUGUCUAGUCCACAUGGUAGAGGGAGAGCGCCUGUC
This 5717-nucleotide small RNA is filed under the name Rattus norvegicus (Norway rat). RNAcentral's name for it is "uncharacterized LOC102547814". The record is from RNAcentral. Lineage: Eukaryota; Metazoa; Chordata; Mammalia; Rodentia; Muridae.